Molecule: ribosomal RNA, 1288 nt
Filed under: Tribolium audax (American black flour beetle)
Lineage: Eukaryota; Metazoa; Arthropoda; Insecta; Coleoptera; Tenebrionidae
Description: 16S ribosomal RNA
Rfam family: Archaeal large subunit ribosomal RNA (bases 592-1288)
Source: RNAcentral
AUUAAAAUGUUUUUUUUUUUUUUUUUUUUUGAUUUAAUUAGAAGAAGUAUAUUUAAUUUUAUUAAUUUGGUUUGAAAAAAUUGUAUUUAAUUAUAGGAUAUAGUACUGUGAAGGAUAUUUUUUUUUAUUUUUAAAGCAUAACUUAUUAUUAGUACCUUUGGUAUCAGGGUUAAUUUAAUUAUAAUUAAGGGUUUAGUUAUCCCGAAUUCAAAAGAGUUAUGAUAGUAUUUAUUUUACUGUAGAAGAAGUAUUUGAAAUGUUAUUAUUGAAAUGAAACGUUAUUCGUUUUUGAAUAUAUCUGGUUUUUUGAGAAACGAAUUUAAUUUGUUUACUUUAUAUUAUUGAAAUAAUUUUAUAUUUUAUGAUUAAAGUGGAUUAUACUUAUAGGGAUAAGCUUGUAGGUAAAUUUCUAUAAUAGUUUAUUUAUUUAGUAAAAUAUAGGAUUAGAAUUUUCCAUUAUUAUUAGUGUGUUAUAACUAUUUAUUAAUAUUAAAUAAUUUAUAUAUUAUUUAGUUUUUUUAUUAAAAUGUCUUAAUUAAUAAAAAAUUAGGAGUGAUAAUGAUUGAAUUAGUAUAAUUUUAAUGUAUUUGUAAUUUGUAUAUUUAGGUUAGUUUAAGGAAUUCGGCAAAAUUAAUUUUCACUUGUUUAAUAAAAACAUGUCUUUUUGAAUAUUAUUUAAAGUCGAACCUGCCCAAUGAGGGUUUUAAUGGCCGCAGUAUUUUGACUGUGCAAAGGUAGCAUAAUCAUUAGUUUCUUAAUUAGGAGCUAGAAUGAAUGGUUUGAUGAGAAAUUAACUGUCUCUUACUAAUUUUAUUAUAAUUUGAAUUUUAAGUGAGAAUGCUUAAAUUUUUUAGAAAGACGAGAAGACCCUAUAGAGUUUGAUUAUUAUUUUAAUUGAAAUUUAUUUAGGGUUGGUAUUUGUUUGGUUGAGCUGAUAAUUUUGUUGGGGUGACAAAAAAAUUUAUUUAACUUUUUAAUUUUUUUACACUAAUUAGUGAUUAGUUGAUCCUGUAGGUAUGGAUUAUAAGAUUGAAUUACCUUAGGGAUAACAGCGUAAUUUUUUUUGAAAGUUCAUAUUUAUAAAAAAGUUUGCGACCUCGAUGUUGGAUUAAAAUUAAUUUUCGGUGUAGCUGCUGAAAUGAUUAGGUCUGUUCGACCUUUAAAAUUUUACAUGAUCUGAGUUUAAACCGGCGUGAGCCAGGUUGGUUUCUAUCUUUUAAUAAAGUUAAUAUGUUCUAGUACGAAAGGACCGGAUGUUAAUAUUAGAUAUUUAAUUUUGAAUUAAAUU